GGGCUGUGGCAGGAUACAUGGGAUAAGUGGAAGGAAAGGGUUAAAAAGUCCUGAAUUCAGAUUCUCUUUCUGCUGUAGAUUUGCUUUACUGGAGCUGCUUCAUCUCCCUGUGCAUGGCUUAGUCUGUGUUUUAGCUCUUAGGCUGACUCCCAGUAGGGGAUACCUGUGGCUGAUGGGUAACACAGCAAUUCAGACUUUCCAAAGUCCUGCCUGGUGGUGGGGAACAUCAUCAAGUCUGUGCUUUGGAAAUACAUGUUUUAUGAACAUUAAAUACAUGGACAUACAUGCAUGCUUCAUCCCUGGUCCUGCCAGCUGCACGUAUCUAUAGAUAUUUGUCUAUUCAGGUAUUGCUAGUUUUGCCAUGGGAUGACCAAGCAUUUGAGCUGAAUACGUUUCACCAACAGACCUUUUGGAAGGCAGAUGGGUUUUGCAAUUAUGGAGCCCCGCUUGAACAGAGAUAUUGGCAGAAGAGGUUGUCAGGGCAAGGGAAAUUAAAGUGUUGCCUCUAACUGAAUGGCAAACCUUUUGGUUCCCAGAGUGCUUCCCACUCACUGAACCCAACAUGCCUUGCACAUGUUCUGUGCCUGGUGAUGGAUCACAUCUCACGGAGGUGACCGCAGGGACUUCUCGGUCCCAGCUGGACAUUUCACAACCUUGUGCCAGCCACAGCCCAGCAUCUUUCACAUUGGUGGUGUCAGUUUUAUUCUUUACCUGUGUAAAUCCUGGCAGAGCAGGUCUGACUUCAUGGAUGGUGCCCGCACAGAUGUUGCCCGCACAGAUGUUGCCACAGUGCAAGUAGGAAUUAAUCGUGCCUGGCCUCCAUCAGAGGGAGAAUCAUUGCCUUCCAGAGCACCCGGAGGAUGCUGGGCACAGCGGAUGCAGCCGGCAGAGGGAGUGUGGAGCAUUGUACGCUGACUGCUUGUCUCCCGUUAGAUGCAGUGCCCUGCAAACCGGCCUCUUUCUUCCCUUCUCUCGGCAGACUGCUAAGUGGGAACAGAGCAAUGCGAUAACGGAUUGUUUAUUAUGGAAACAUGCCACUUUUAGUAGAUUUACAAGCAGCUUUGUGGAGCUCCUGAGCACUCUGUAUUUUUGUUUUUAGUUCGUUACUCAUCUUGAUACAUCGUUGGUAUACGUCUAACCACGGCUGUAAAAGACGCUAGCGGGGACAUGAUGGGGCCAAAGCAUGGGAGAUAGAAUGCAGCUGUCAGGCAGCAUUUCUUCUAGGGGUUUGAGGAGUACCAGCAGGCUGUGUCAGCCCGGCAGUGACUGUUUCUCAGUGACUGACUUUACAGUCAGACUAUUUUGUAGUUCCUUCAAGGAAGGCCCCGUGGUUUAGCGGCUGCACAGAUGGUUGCAUUGCAUUUAGAGCAAAGUGAAAUAACACUAGUUCCUCCCAUCCUCUGCUGCCUCACGCUGAGAAAUUAGCAGCCUCUUUUGGGAGCUACUAGUCAAAAUCUCAGAUCUGAACACCUCCAGACUUUCAGCAAAGUUUGAAACCAGUUCAGGAGCUGAAUUUCAAGUCUGCUCUUCCCAUGCCAAAACCCCCAGAGCUGAAUACCUGGGAACUAUGGAGGUGGGUUAACUCACAGACCAAAUACACUCGGAGCUUUUCAUUGUCUCCCUUUAAUGCAUCAGCUUUCCCAAUAUGUCUAGCAUAGUCCAUACCGCAUUCACUGCUGUAAUCACCACUGAAACCUGGAUAGGUUAGAAAUCCAUAUGUGGAUCUGCGUCUGGGUGAAUUUGGCAGACAGAAAGCAGUCCCCAAAAGGCAAUUUCUUCCUAUCGAAUCAUCUGCCAAUUUUAACAGUUUUGAUUUAUGCUUUUUAAUGUUACUGAGCUCUUUGCUGAAAGAGUUGAAGGCCAUCUCCACUGGCGCUGCUAUUGAAUGAGCCACCUCAGGAGCAAGACCGGCUUCCAGAGUAGCUGGGAGUUUGUAUCUUUUACAUGUGAGGUUUCUCUGCCUGUCUCAUGGUCUCCUGCACUUCCUUAGCUCAAACAAGUGCUUCCAAUUACAGAAAAGUAUGUGACAUACAUGAGUCACGGUUGGGUUUUGGGCACUAUGGUUUUAAGGGAGACCAGGUACAAGGGUUAAACUUGUACCUGCUCCCUUACCUGCUGCUGCAACCUAGGGUAGAGAAGAAAUGUGCCAUGUGAGUGUAUAACCCUCCUGGUUUCUCUAAUGAAACUAGUUUUGUUUGGUUUGGUUUGGGGUUUUUUUUUCAUUUUUUAUUAUUUGCCCCUGAAAGAGGAAAUUAAUUAGGCCAGUUGGAAGUAUAUGAGGGCUGUUUUGUGUGGGGAGGACCAGAGCAGGUGAGCAGUUCCUGGAAUUGCUUGGAUAGUAGACAAGAGCAUGGAGUAAGAGACCGAUGAGAGGGUAGUUAGUUUACUUAGAAAGACUGACUGAGUGCAGCCGUCUGGAAAGUAGAUCAUCUUUCUGAAAGGCACAAAGAAGAAAAAUAAUGACUCCAGAUUCAUCCCUUGUGUAAUUCUUUUGAAGUUGGUGGCUUACACCAGGAUGAUUUAACCCCAUUAAUUUUAAUGGGUCACUGCAGUGUCCCAAGAGUUGCUUUUUGCUGUGCUGCGUUCUGAGGCAGAGAUAAAGCAGAGCCUCGGUGUCUGGGCUUAAACCCAAGCUUGGUGUCCCCAUAGGGCUGGUUUGGGCCCGUCCACAUUGUGGCUGACUCCAAUUGGAGAAGGAAAAGGAUGCAGGAGAUGAUGAUGUGUCUGACCCCCUGUCCCGUGAUGGCUAGGUGCUGCCAGGACUUUGUUGUGAGCCAUAAUCUGCCUAAAAAAGCUGUAUCUGGUCUGAAAACCAAGGACAACCGGGCUAAGAGCACUCACUGGAGUUAACACCGCCCCUCACCCUGCUGCGGGUCUGCUGAUCCGAAGUGAUUAACACAGGGAGAGACAAGAGGUGUGGAGCAGUGUGUCAAAGGAAGAAGCCUGAAACUGAGCAGAAACCAGCAACAGAUGAACCCUGGUGGGACUCAGUGGGCAGGGAGCGAAGGUCAGUGCCUUUGACAUGCAACAGGGACUCAGAGGCUAUGUCUGGGGACAGGGAUAAAGCGCAUUUACCACCUAUUGAUCAAAGCAAGCCGGUCAUAGCAGGAAUCGGCCACGCAUAGUUAAAAAGCCCAUGUAUCACAGCAGGGAAAAUUUAAUCUGCUGCCAGGAGGGGAGGAUGCGUGUUUGUCACCAGUUGUCAGACAGCUGAAGACAUGGUGGCAGACACAGCUGUAGUGCUUGGGCAGAAAUAGCGAUCGUGCCCCAGCCUCAUCAAGCAGCAGCACGUCAUGCACUGUGCUCAUCCCCUGCUCCUUGAGGGCCUCAGAGCCAACCUUGUGCCUCAGCUCUCCGCUUUUGCAUGCAUCUCCUCAUGUGCCUUCCUCCCAGAGACAUUUGUAGGUUUCCUGUCCUAGUGCUGUCCUAUUUUGAGGGUGGCAGAGCUUUCACCUGACUUCCUGUCCUUUGCAAGUAUUGAUGACGAAUUGACCAGACAAUAGGAAAUGAGCCAUAAGGAGCAGAUGGAGUAUAAUGAAACGAAGUGCUUAAUCUUCAUGCAAAUGUUCUUAGUAACAUGGAGGAGGGGGAAGCCGUGUUUGGUGAAGAUUGGGUGUAAAGUAAACCCUAAGCAGCCUGCUUUUAUCAAGGUAUCGGCUGUUCCUUAGUUUCUUGCAGAAGGAAGGGAAGACAAGCAUUGCUGUGUCUUUGGGCAUUUAUCUCUUGACAGACUUGACCUGACUGUACAGUGAGCCCAGGGAGAGGGUCCUGGUAGGGAAGGACAUAUCACAUGUUGCAAUAAGAGUUGCUCAGUAAACUCGGUCACUUCUUCUGAUACCUCUAUUUAAUCUCAUUGGUCUGUAGUCUUCUCCCAGUCACAUAUUGUAAUGCAAACUCUGUAAAAUCACUUCCCAGCUAAAGCAGAUCAGAAAAUCCAUCUGGAUUAGCAAACUGAUCAGUAAAAAGCUUUAUAAAAUAAAGAUGCAUCUGGUCUUGAAUUAUAUCUCCUGCAAAAGCAGAAGGGAGGGGAGCUGAGCUCCGGUCCUGCACUUGAGUCAGAACAACCCCAUUCAAUGCUACAGGCUUGGGGAAGAGCGGCUGGAAAGCUGCUUGGCAGAAAAGGACCUGGGGUUGUUUGUGGACAGGCAUUUGAACAUGAGCCAGCUUGUGCCCAGGCAGCCAAGAAGGCCAACAGCAUCCUGGCCUGUGUCAGAAAUAGUGUGGCCAGCAGAGCCAGGGCAGUGAUCAUCCUCCUGUACUUGGCACUUCUGAGGCCGCACCUUGAAUAGUGUGUUCAGUCCCAGGCCUCUCGCUACAAGAGAGAUAAUGAAGUGCUGGAGUGGGUCCAGAGAAGGGCAAUAAAGCGGGUGAAGGGCCUGGAGUACAAAUCUUACGAGGAGUGGCUGAGGGAAUUGGGGUUGUUCAGUCUGAAGAAGAGAAGUCUUGAGGGACCUUCUCGCUAUCUACAACUACCUGAAAGGAGGUUGUAGUGAGGUUGGUGUCAGUCGCUGCUCCCAAACAACAAGUGAUAGGCUGAGGGAACAGCCUCAAUUUGCACUAGGGAAGGUUUAGACUGGAUAUUAGGAAAAAAAUUGUCACCAAAAGGGUUAUCAAGCACUGGAACAGGCUUCCCAUGGAAGUGGUGGAGUCACCAUCCCUGGGAGUAUUUAAAAGAUCUGUAGAUGUGGCACUUGGGGACAUGGUUUAGUGGUGGACUUGGCAGAGUUAAAUUUAUGAUUGGACUCACUGAUCUUAAAGGUCCUUUCCAGCUAAAUUAUUCAAUAAUUCUAUGAAUAUCGAAGGUUGUUCUUGCAAACAUGUGGGUCCUGGAAACGUGUGUGCUGGUACCCACCAUAUCAUAGUGUAAUAUUUACAUGUGGAUGCAUCCUGUACAUAUGUCUCUCUCUCUUUUGGAGAGAGAAGUGUCAGAUACAAAGGGUGAAACUGAAUUUGCCUAAGUCCAAGGUAGGUUUGCAGUUCACCCCAAGGGCUGGAACGAGUGCUGCUGCUGCUCUGUAUCACCCAAGGAGGAAUUUUAACUGUGCCCAUGCAAAGACAGGUGGACGAAUCCCAGCAA
RNAcentral lists this long non-coding RNA (5077 nucleotides) under Strigops habroptila (Kakapo). Its description in RNAcentral is "lncRNA (ENSSHBG00005004025.1)". Lineage: Eukaryota; Metazoa; Chordata; Aves; Psittaciformes; Psittacidae. The record is from RNAcentral.